Molecule: long non-coding RNA, 1562 nt
Organism: Monodelphis domestica (gray short-tailed opossum)
Lineage: Eukaryota; Metazoa; Chordata; Mammalia; Didelphimorphia; Didelphidae
Source: RefSeq, a predicted model, not a curated record
GUAAAGGUAAUAUGAUGGGGGAAGGCACUAGUACCUGGGAUAUAUAAAAAGGCCUCCUGAAGAAGGAAUGAAGAACCAGCAAAGGAGACUGAGAAGGAACAAUCAGGAAGUUAGAGAAUUGAACCUAGUACAGAGCCUUAAAUGCUUGUGGUUGAAUAAUAGGAGGAAGUUGAAAUUCUAAAUUAUCAGAACUCUGGACACAACGAGAGCCUUCCAGAUUACCUGUCAGUGUUGUCACUCAUAUGUGUAUCAAUAUUCCAGAGCUCUGACAACCUUCUUUAUUUUUAGCCUUAAAUUCCACUUUAUAAUAUAAAUAUCACACUCUGGGCAGGGCACCAGAGAGCAAUUACUGUACUUCCCAGGUGAGGCAAGUUGCUUGGCCCCAAAUCGUCAACACAUUCCCCAGGAUGUGUUCUCUUCACUCAGAGAUGAUUGGAAGGCACUUGUUACACAAUUAGAUAGCCUUGGAAGUGAGAGAAGUCAUUGGCACACAUAUCAGCAAAGGGCAGUGGAUCCACUCCUUCCUUCAUGGAGGGUUCGGUGAAGACCUAUUUCUUCAGAGAUGUUGGCAGGGGCAGGAAGCACUACCCCGAGCCUAGUUCCCUGCUCAGGGCAUGUGGAACUUUUGUGUCAAGGAGAUCAAGGCCAAUGUAUUACUAAAUGAGUAAUCUUUCCCUUUCCAUCCUCAUCAGCAAAUCCAAUCUUGCCGCUCCCCCCCUCCCAAACAAGCUUCCAAGUGUUCACUUGACUCAUUCAUCCUCCUACCAGGUUUAUGGAAGUUUGGGCUUAUCUAUCCUAGCCUUCUGGGAUCUGGGUGCAGGGAAGGUACCCCAUUGUGGGAGUUCAGAAAACACCACUCACCAAAUCCACCAUUGUACAACUCCAAGAGCUAAUAACCCAGUGAGUCUACCUUCUGCACUCUCUGGCUAGAAUCUUGGUGGUGGCCCAAGAACACUCAGCCAUCAUUUCAACCUCCAUGCUGUACUUUGCCAGCUCUCCCUCUUACAAGUUUAUCAAGUUGAAGGAUGACACUGUCAACAGACAUUAAAAAAAGAAGAAGAAAGAAACAGGAAGGGAAAGGAGAAAGAAGGGAAAAGGGAAAAAAACUACAACCUACAAGGCUUACUCAGGUACAAGGACGGUAUCUCCCUACUGCCAAGGUCACGCAGGCUGGCGUGAUGUGUCCUCAUUCUUCACUAUCACUUAAGCCUUAAGUGAGCUUCUCUGGGUCCCCAGCACCAUUUCUCUGCUGGCCUCUGUGCAGCCCAGGAGAGAAUAUCCUGGUUCAACAGGAGAUUGCUUUGUAAGACAACAGCUGAGCUGAUAAUGCCAGCAAAGUCGAGACACCAGGGACCUCUUACAAUUUUAAGAUCCAAUCAACUUUAAAAUAUUACUGUCGAAGGCAGAUUUGAGCAGGGGCUCUAGCAAACAAUUGAUCCUGGUAUAUUUACUGAGAGUCAAAGGCACUCCGUUGAAAUAUUAAUCUUGGGUGGGGGAGCACAGGAAAACCAGGAUAACAUCAGGCAGCCAAAGUUCUUUCUAUAAAUACUUCAACAAAAUAA